Long non-coding RNA from Lates calcarifer (barramundi perch), 673 nucleotides. RefSeq lists it as uncharacterized. The record is from RefSeq and is a predicted model, not a curated record. NCBI's taxonomy places the organism in Eukaryota, Metazoa, Chordata, Actinopteri, Centropomidae. The transcript has 4 exons.
AAGCCGGAAAACGGAUUUAAACCAGCGUUUGAGCUGUUACCUCGGUUUGUCAGUACUGUGAGAAAACUGAAUCCCUGAAGAAGCCUGGAUGUUAAAACAGACUGUGGAGCUGCUUUUUUGUUGAACACGAGUGAAGCUGGAAGCUGAAUACACCGCGAAGGUCGAUUUGUUCAGCUGCUGCAGCUCGAUGGAGACACCGAUAUCACCUUACAGACCAACAGGUGUCACCACUUCACCCACAACGCCGUCCACAGUCGCCAAGACAUUGUCCAUGACUCGCAGAGACGUGCUAAAGUCGGUAGUGACGGAGUUCACUGAUUUGACAGCAUCGUCCGUGAUCAGAGAGAUAUUGUCGAUGAUCACAGAGACGUAGUCCACGAUCACAGAGAGUCUUCGUACAAUGAAGAAGUUGUUUGAGACCAGGACAGAGGCCUCCAGGAGGAGGAGAAGACUGCAUCAUCUAAGAGGACAACAAGAGUAGUAAAAUGUUCUUGAAGAUGUCUAGAGAUGUAUAAGAUUUUAAUAAGCAUGUCCUCAUAUGUGAUCAUCACUACAUGAAAUGUGGGGUGAGAGAAUAAAAAGAUGUGUCUCCAAGUGGUCAAAUAUCUGUCAUUAUCUUUACUGUGGUUUGUUAAAUGUUGUCUGUAACAGAAUCAAUAAAGUUGUUGCUUAA